UACCCAACAGCUAGCCCCACCCCCCAAAAUAAUUAAAUCAACAUAACUUAAACCCUAAGACCCAAAAUUUUAAUUACCAAACCAUUUUUCCUCCCUAGUAUGGGCGACAGAAAAG
Molecule: ribosomal RNA, 115 nt
Filed under: Eleotris oxycephala
Lineage: Eukaryota; Metazoa; Chordata; Actinopteri; Gobiiformes; Eleotridae
Description: partial 16S ribosomal RNA
Source: RNAcentral